CUUAUAGGCUAGGGGUGUUCCUUGACAUAUGUCAAAGGGCUGAGAAAUACCCUCAUUACUUGAACUGGAUAAUGCCAGCGUAAGGAAGCACUUAUAGGUAACC
Molecule: non-coding RNA, 103 nt
Filed under: Epulopiscium sp. Nele67-Bin004
Lineage: Bacteria; Bacillati; Bacillota; Clostridia; Lachnospirales; Lachnospiraceae
Also listed under: 1 other name
Description: TPP riboswitch aptamer (THI element)
Rfam family: TPP riboswitch aptamer (THI element)
About the family: Vitamin B(1) in its active form thiamin pyrophosphate (TPP) is an essential coenzyme that is synthesised by coupling of pyrimidine and thiazole moieties in bacteria.
Source: Rfam by way of RNAcentral